Molecule: long non-coding RNA, 773 nt
Filed under: Gossypium barbadense (sea-island cotton)
Lineage: Eukaryota; Viridiplantae; Streptophyta; Magnoliopsida; Malvales; Malvaceae
Description: long non-coding RNA (GBAR_LNC003440)
Source: RNAcentral
AACAGACCCAUUUACACCUUACCCCUAAUAAACCUAUUAGCCCCUAAAACCCCUAACCCGAUUACAAAACUUAAGUGGCCCAAUUGGCCCAAACUUUUACACUGAGGCAGGAAACCCUAGGGUUUCUGCCUUUCCCUCCUAGCGCCGCAACAUCUUCUAGAAGAUUCGGGGAGCGUCUGUCCAGCUCUCGAAUCAAAGCCAUCAAUGCGCUAUCCAGAAGCCUGUCUCCCUCACGUCUGUCCAGCUCCUAAAUCAAGGCCGGAUCGACUCUGUUCCAGCGACCUUUCGCUGUCGAGAUUGUUGCUCCUACAGCAAUCCUGGCCUUGGAUUGUGCCACCAUUGGCGCUCCAGCAUUCAUCACGCCAGUAAAUCACUGAGAUCCUCGCGGUUAACUGCAAAAAAGGAAAGAAAACACAGCAGAAAAGGAAAAUAGAUAGGAGAAAAAGAUAUCAAAGAUUUUUUUCUAAAUGUAAACAGUUCAUAAAGGGCUAUAAAAGCCUCUUCACAAAUCUGUACAAAGGACCGGAUUUGGAGAAAAAAAAUACACUUACACAUAUUUAUAAAGGAGAAGUUCAAGCAUUUUCUUUCAAAAAGGUGAUUCGAGUUUUUUUUUUAUUCUGUUAUUUAUUCAACGAAUAUACAAAUCGAUCUUUAGCAAAGAAUUGAUAGUAUUAUGGAAAAGGAAGAGGUUACCUGCGAUUUUCUUGAAAGAAUGAGGGUUUUUUAACCCUCCGACCACCGAGUGUGGUGGCGCGUAAGCGCAUGAGAAGACU